GACGAACGCUGGCGGCGUGCCUAAUACAUGCAAGUAGAACGCUGAAGGAGGAGCUUGCUCUUCUGGAUGAGUUGCGAACGGGUGAGUAACGCGUAGGUAACCUGCCUGGUAGCGGGGGAUGACUAUUGGAAACGAUAGCUAAUACCGCAUAACAGUAGAUGUUGCAUGACAUUUACUUAAAAGGUGCAAUUGCAUCACUACCAGAUGGACCUGCGUUGUAUUAGCUAGUUGGUGGGGUAACGGCUCACCAAGGCGACGAUACAUAGCCGACCUGAGAGGGUGAUCGGCCACACUGGGACUGAGACACGGCCCAGACUCCUACGGGAGGCAGCAGUAGGGAAUCUUCGGCAAUGGACGGAAGUCUGACCGAGCAACGCCGCGUGAGUGAAGAAGGUUUUCGGAUCGUAAAGCUCUGUUGUAAGAGAAGAACGAGUGUGAGAGUGGAAAGUUCACACUGUGACGGUAGCUUACCAGAAAGGGACGGCUAACUACGUG
This 495-nucleotide ribosomal RNA is filed under the name uncultured bacterium. RNAcentral's name for it is "partial 16S ribosomal RNA". It matches the Rfam family "Bacterial small subunit ribosomal RNA", at positions 28 to 507 of the family's 1533-position model. The record is from RNAcentral.